UGCAUUUGAAGCCCAUGAGGAUGAGAACCUCCGGGGCGGGGAGGUUCGACUCGAGCGAAGCGAGAGAACGUUGCGCCAGCAACGGCCCGCAGGGCGAGCCACGAAGUGGCGAGUAAUCCUCUAUCACCGACCA
This 133-nucleotide small RNA is filed under the name Escherichia coli. Its description in RNAcentral is "RtT sRNA". It matches the Rfam family "RtT RNA". From Rfam's summary of the family: This family represents a bacterial cis-regulatory element known as RtT RNA. The exact function of RtT is unknown although it is thought that it may be involved in changing the cellular response in relation to amino acid starvation. RNAcentral also lists the same sequence under 1 other name. The record is from RNAcentral. Lineage: Bacteria; Pseudomonadati; Pseudomonadota; Gammaproteobacteria; Enterobacterales; Enterobacteriaceae.